This 253-nucleotide ribosomal RNA is filed under the name uncultured bacterium. RNAcentral's name for it is "partial 16S ribosomal RNA". It matches the Rfam family "Bacterial small subunit ribosomal RNA", at positions 524 to 776 of the family's 1533-position model. The record is from RNAcentral.
UACAGAGGUCUCAAGCGUUGUUCGGAUUCAUUGGGCGUAAAGGGUGCGUAGGCGGCGCGGUAAGUCGGGUGUGAAAUCUUGGAGCUUAACUCCGAAGCUGCAUUCGAUACUGCCGUGCUUGAGGACUGGAGAGGAGACUGGAAUUUACGGUGUAGCGGUGAAAUGCGUAGAUAUCGUAAGGAAGACCAAUGGCGAAGGCGGGUCUCUGGACAGUUCCUGACGCUGAGGCACGAAGGCCAGGGGAGCAAACGGG